This 250-nucleotide ribosomal RNA is filed under the name uncultured bacterium. Its description in RNAcentral is "partial 16S ribosomal RNA". It matches the Rfam family "Bacterial small subunit ribosomal RNA", at positions 524 to 773 of the family's 1533-position model. The record is from RNAcentral.
UACGGAGGGUGCAAGCGUUAUCCGGAAUCAUUGGGUUUAAAGGGUCCGUAGGCGGGCAUAUAAGUCAGUGGUGAAAGUCUGUGGCUCAACCAUAGAAUUGCCAUUGAUACUGUAUGUCUUGAAUUAUUGUGAAGUGGUUAGAAUAUGUAGUGUAGCGGUGAAAUGCUUAGAGAUUACAUAGAAUACCGAUUGCGAAGGCAGAUCACUAACAAUAUAUUGACGCUGAUGGACGAAAGCGUAGGUAGCGAAC